ACCUAACCAGCACCAUAAUCAACUCAAUACUAUCGAUAAGCUGAAUCCAUGACGGGAGAAACCUAACUAACUAACUAACCAACUACAUGUUCCAACUGUGCGUCAGAGACUAAUUUCUCGAAAUACUGAGAUUCAUUGAUGAAACCUAACUAACCUGAUCUUCGAGAAUGAUUCCGGCGAAACCAGCGCCGAUGUAUCCCUUGAGAGUUCUCUUGAGGUUCAUGGCGUUGCCGUAGCCAUUGUCGGCAUCGCCGAUGACGGGAAUGGAAACGGCCUGGGUGAUGAGGCGGCCUUGAUCGAGAAUUUCGCCGUAAGAGAUGAGACCGGUGUCGGGCAAGGCGAGCCUGGAAGCGGAGAUGGAGAAGCCGCUGGUGAAGCAGAAUUGAAAGCCCGCGGUCUGAACGAGCUUGGCGCUGAGAGCGUCGAAACAUGCAGGACCUUGGUGAACUCCCGGGGAGUCGAGGAUUCGGCGAAGGAGCUUGGCGGGAGAAGAAGAAGAAGAAGCAUCAUUCCCAGCCAAAGAACACGCUAUGGAGGGAAAGGAUUUGGAUGUUCGGAGGAACGAAAUGGAAGAAGAUCGAAAUGGGAGGGGACCGCCGCCGCCUCCACCGCCGCCACCGCUACCACCACUGAGACUGAGACUGACCGUAACAGAGGCACUGCAAACCGUUGAAAUCUUCAUCGCUCUCUCUACUCUUCACUCCCACUCAUUUCAUUUCAUUUCAUUUCAUUUCAACUAGUAUUACGGGUAUUUUUAAAAUUAUUAUUGAACAUUUAUAAGAAUAUAUUUUAUUAUAUAUAAAAAGUAAUAAAAUUAUAUGACAUCUUAUUUAGAAUAAUAAUAACAAUAAUUAAAAAAAACUAUGAUGAGUUUGUUUAUAAUGACAUAAAUUGCUUUUAAAUAUUUUUGUCAAUAAUUACUCCGUAUAAAGUAAUAGGUUAAAUUUGGAAUAAAUUGAAUAAUAAAGUAUGGUGUCUUUGUUAAAAGGUACUUUCUGUAGAGACUUUGGUAUAUAAUAAAUAUUUACAAUAAUAUUUAAAUGAUCUUAAUUGUUAUUUUUUAAUUAUUUUAAUAGAAAAAGAAAAAAAUCAACUUAAAUUAUCACUUAAUAGUAUAUGUACAUUCUUUUUGAAAUUGUUAUUAAUAUUUAUAGUUUAAAAUUCUUUCACUUCAUGAAUUUAGUUUUGAUGAAACAAUUAGAAUCACUUAAAAUAAUAUAGAAUAAUUUGUAUUCUUUUACUUUUACUUUAAGAACAACUGAACAUAGAUGACAGGUGUGCAUUAUGAAUUUAAGUCUAUUAUUUAAAAAUGAUUUAUUUUAAUUUUUUAUCUAUUAUCGAUAAUAUAUAUAUACACACACGAGAAUUUGUCUUAUUUAAAACUUAACCGAUAAUUCUAAAUUAAAUCAAUGUUUAAUAUACAUAUUUUGUUAUCAAUGUUUUUAUUUGUAAAAAUAAUAACAAAAAUAACAUAUUUAUUCAAAUCAUUUAUUAGCAACAUUGUUUUAUUACAAAGAUUAUUUUGUAUCCGUGUUUCUUAAAAGCAUUAUAUAUACACAAAUUCCAGUUUAAUUAGAAUAUUUAACGUGUUAAAAAACUUUGAUAUCAAUGGUCUUUGAUAUAUGUGUUUGAAUCUGUAAUAUUUAUUCGCAAUUAAAAAUAAAUUUACACGAUCAACCCGAAGUAUUCACACUAUUGAAGAAAGUCUAUGUUUAAAAGCUAAAAGAGAUAUUCUAUACCAAUCUUAAAUAUAAGAUUUACUAUUUCCAAAAUCUGAUAUGAAGGAAACAGAUAACAUAUCCAUUAUGAGAAAUAAUUUUUCUUACAAAAAUUCUCAAUAUUUAAAAAAAAAACAAUUUUGAUAUUGAAAAAUCCUAAUUAAAAAAAAUAUAUUGUAAGACUUAGAAGAACAUUUUGGAUCUUAAAAUAAGAUGUAUCGUUAACACAAAUUAAUGGAAAUAUUAAAAGAUCUUAUACCAUCCUUAAAAUAAAGGUAUUGACGAUAAUUUAGUCUAUAAUGUUAAAAUAAUAUCUUGCAAAGUAAACUUUUAAUUUACUUGGAAACUUAAUAAAAUUUGUGAAAAUCAUCAACGGCUAAUCAGAAGGGUUUUGUUUAUUUUUUAUGGUCUCGAACAUAUCCCAUAGACAUUUAAGAAUAGAAGUAACACACCAAAUACAUGACUGAUAAUUCAAUUACCACUUGAAUAAGCACAUCAUCGACACUAGAAUACCCUUCUUCGUAAAGAAAGGAUUGUUGUCUCUAAAACAUCCUUUUUUAAGCCUUUUGAUUGGUGUUUGAAGCAUAGCGCUCUUCUUCUUUGUAGUAAGUGUUGAAACCUACAAUGUCCUUAAUUUCUUCAAAAGACGGCAUGCUUCCUGGAGGAGGAACACCUCCUCCUUUAAUUGCAAUGAGUGCAUCCUACAAAUUCAGUCAGAUAUAUAUACACAUUUAUUAUCUGAAAAUGAAACUACACAAAAUUAAAACAUCAAAAGAAUGGUGCAUCCGAUACUUUGGCCUGUUAUAUGAGGAAGAACUCCUCUAACAACAAUUCACAGGAAGCACCACAAAUAUCUCUGCAUGUCUGAUCUAAAGCCUGAACUUAUCACGCAACCAGGCAUCAUAAACGUAAUAAAACAAUAAAUGGGAAAGAAGUUUCACCUGCAUUGCUUUUAUGCAAACCCCAAUCAAGGAAAGUGGAUAAACAGCAAGUUUAUAACCAACUUCUUCAAGUUCCUUAGGACUCAGUAUAGGCGUUUUGCCUCCUCCUUCAAGCAUAUUUGCCUACACAACACGAGAGUGUGGGUCAACAUCCUCAAUGCGUUUAUACUUCAUACCUUGACUCGUAAUAAAAAAUGAUCAGCAACUAAGUUAUUAAAUUACUAGAAACGAAUGGACUGAUUCAUAAGAGUAGGAUUGUACAAAUUGUAAGACUAGAUAUAUGGGAAUGGUCCAACAUUAAAAAUGCAGAGACUUUGAUACCGGAUUAGAUUAUGAGAUAACGAUAUUUUAACAUCGUAUUCAUGUCUCAGUGUUUAUGAUUAUUAUUAUGAAUUAUAGAUUAUAUAGUAAUUUUGAACCAACACACGUGGAUAAGAUAAGGUUAAAAUGUUGAAAAUAUCAUUAUCCUGUAGGAAAAACUUUCCCUGUAAAAACUUGAUAGAAAAGAAAUUAAACUUAUCUUGGUAAAUGAAAAUCAAUUUAUGCAGUUCAAGCUGUUAAUUGGACAAGUUAAAUGAGAAACAGAGCAAAUCAGGCAUGCGGAAAUCUUUCAAAGAGCAUUUUGCAGAACAGUUUGUGCGCAAUUGAAGAGGCAAGGCGUGCAUUACUAGAAGAGAGAUGAAGAUACCAGUUUAGGAACAUGGGGAGAAACUUGACAAAAUGCUCUCAUUUCUUCAACGGAAGCGAGUGCGUCUAUGAAAAGAACAUCGGCCCCAGCCUCCGCAAAUGCCUUGCACCUGAUGAACGCUUCCUCCAAGGAUACGGCUUGCCGAGCAUCGGUGCGCGCCACAAUCACAAUAUCGGAGCCGCUCUCCGCUCGAGCAUCCACGGCGGCUCUAAUCUUCAUCACCGCCUCUUCCCUGGGCAACACCUUCCUGCCGCGAGUGUGCCCACACGCUUUCGGCGCAACCUGUCCAAUUCGAGUCGGGCAUUAAGAAAAAGAACAAUGAAUGAAUGAAUGGAAGAUGUGAGAAAAGAAACAGGAGUAAGUGACCUGAUCUUCGAGAAGGAUUCCUGCGAAGCCGGCGGAAAUGAAACCCUUGACGGUUCUCUUGAGGUUCAUGGCGUUGCCGUAACCGUUGUCGGCGUCGGCGAUGAUGGGAAUGGAGACGGCUUGGGCGAUGAGUUGGCACUGAUCGAGCAUUUCGCCGUAAGAGAUGAAGCCGGUGUCGGGUAAAGCCAGCCUUGAAGCGGCGAUGGAGAAGCCGCUGGUAAUGCAGUAGGGGAAACCGGCGGAUUCAAUGAGCUUUGCGCCGAUAGCGUCGAAGCACGCCGGUCCCUGGUGAACGCCGGGGGUUUGCAGCAGUUCUCUGAGCACCUUCGCCUUUGCCAUCUUAUCACUUCACUUCCCUACUGAC
This 4077-nucleotide long non-coding RNA is filed under the name Vigna radiata. Its description in RNAcentral is "long non-coding RNA (VRAD_LNC003238)". Lineage: Eukaryota; Viridiplantae; Streptophyta; Magnoliopsida; Fabales; Fabaceae. The record is from RNAcentral.